RNAcentral lists this ribosomal RNA (517 nucleotides) under Escherichia coli. RNAcentral describes it as "bacterial SSU rRNA". It matches the Rfam family "Bacterial small subunit ribosomal RNA", at positions 1011 to 1528 of the family's 1533-position model. The record is from RNAcentral. Lineage: Bacteria; Pseudomonadati; Pseudomonadota; Gammaproteobacteria; Enterobacterales; Enterobacteriaceae.
AAUGUGCCUUCGGGAACCGUGAGACAGGUGCUGCAUGGCUGUCGUCAGCUCGUGUUGUGAAAUGUUGGGUUAAGUCCCGCAACGAGCGCAACCCUUAUCCUUUGUUGCCAGCGGUCCGGCCGGGAACUCAAAGGAGACUGCCAGUGAUAAACUGGAGGAAGGUGGGGAUGACGUCAAGUCAUCAUGGCCCUUACGACCAGGGCUACACACGUGCUACAAUGGCGCAUACAAAGAGAAGCGACCUCGCGAGAGCAAGCGGACCUCAUAAAGUGCGUCGUAGUCCGGAUUGGAGUCUGCAACUCGACUCCAUGAAGUCGGAAUCGCUAGUAAUCGUGGAUCAGAAUGCCACGGUGAAUACGUUCCCGGGCCUUGUACACACCGCCCGUCACACCAUGGGAGUGGGUUGCAAAAGAAGUAGGUAGCUUAACCUUCGGGAGGGCGCUUACCACUUUGUGAUUCAUGACUGGGGUGAAGUCGUAACAAGGUAACCGUAGGGGAACCUGCGGUUGGAUCACCU